Non-coding RNA from Bacteroidales bacterium 43_8, 97 nucleotides. Lineage: Bacteria; Pseudomonadati; Bacteroidota; Bacteroidia; Bacteroidales. The record is from Rfam.
GAGAGCCGGAUACGCCGAGAGGUGUAAGUCCGGUUCGGGGGCGAGUUCUUGGAAACCUGCCGUAGAAAUACGGUAAGGCGCCGGGUGCUUAGCCUAC